GGGUCAGUAGGUUGGUCGUGCCAGCGGUACGUACUGGUCUCACCGAUUCCUCCUUCCUGAAGUACCGUAAUGCCAUUAAUUUGGUGUUGCGGGGAAUCAGGACUGUUACUUUGAAAAAAUUAGAGUGUUUAAAGCAAGCUAACGCUUGAAUACAUUAGCAUGGAAUAAUGAAAUAGGACGAUCGAUCCUAUUUUGUUGGUUUCUAGGAUUGACGUA
Molecule: ribosomal RNA, 216 nt
Filed under: Glomeromycotina sp.
Lineage: Eukaryota; Fungi; Glomeromycota
Description: partial small subunit ribosomal RNA
Rfam family: Eukaryotic small subunit ribosomal RNA (bases 46-216)
Source: RNAcentral